Panicum virgatum (switchgrass) is the source of this 548-nucleotide long non-coding RNA. RefSeq lists it as uncharacterized. The transcript is spliced from 2 exons. The record is from RefSeq and is a predicted model, not a curated record. Lineage: Eukaryota; Viridiplantae; Streptophyta; Magnoliopsida; Poales; Poaceae.
CGGCGGCAGGAGGGAUGGGCUUGGAUUUCUGCCGCCAAUCCUCCCGGAGAGCCCUGGCCGGGAGCUUUUCGUUUCUCUUGGAGGAGGAGGAAGACGAGGAGGAGGAGGAGGCGAAGGAUGAGCGGCGGGGUCCGGCAUCAGAGGGAGCCGCCGAGGAGGCGAACAAGGAAAGGGAGAGGCAGGUGGUGGAGGCCAUGGAACUCGCUCGCAGCCCGGAACGACGAUGAUGAUGACGAUAAGAGACGGAGGAGGGGGAGGAAUCGAGUGGAGGGAGACGACGACGCACACCACACCCAGGCCUUACGUGGGCUUGCAUUGGUGGGCCUGUCUAUAAAAGGCUUAAGGCUUUCCUCCCUCCUCUCUGAAGACUGAACAACGAAAGCAUUGCCCUGAUUACAGAAAACAUGCUAUACAAGACUAUCAUAAACUCAUAGUAUCUCCAGGCCAGUCAAAAACAGACUAUGUAUACCAAUCCAAAAACUCAAUAUGCAACUUGCCCCCUUUCUGUGACAUAAACAAAGGCCAAAAUAGAAGCAGCUGUUCAUUCA